UUUAGUGUAAUUACCGCCACGGGUCGAAAAUUUGUGAGGUUCUAAUCAAGUUACCGGGGGCUAACCAAUGUCGAUAUCGUUUGAACUUUGAAAUUAGCAAAAUGCUCUAAAGCAAACCCAAAACUCGAUAUGGUGAAUUGCAAAUACUCUAUAGACUUUGGUAUAGGCAAGUCGUUUCCUUACGCUCUAUGGACUCUGCGGAUAGGAAAUGAAUGAAUGACUAACUGACAUUGAAUAUAUACAACUGGGAGAGGGUGUGAUCGGGAUCGGAGUGGUCGGUGUGGAUCGGCGCUUAUCUAAUCAAUGGAAAACCAAGUUGGUUAAGGAACUAGCAAGCAAGUGUUUAUGGCUGAUUGAACACAGCUAAUGAAUAGACUCCUAGGAGAUACAACUUCAUUUAUAGCACUAGUUUUCAAGAUACGUAUUAUUCAUAUCUGUAGGAUAUCAAGUAUUGAAGAUCAUGCGAUCGCCGACUUCCUUGGGUAGCUC
RNAcentral lists this small RNA (489 nucleotides) under Drosophila yakuba. RNAcentral describes it as "GE29209". The record is from RNAcentral. Lineage: Eukaryota; Metazoa; Arthropoda; Insecta; Diptera; Drosophilidae.